This 254-nucleotide ribosomal RNA is filed under the name uncultured soil bacterium. RNAcentral describes it as "partial 16S ribosomal RNA". It matches the Rfam family "Bacterial small subunit ribosomal RNA", at positions 26 to 282 of the family's 1533-position model. The record is from RNAcentral.
AGGACGAACGCUGGCGGCGCGCUUAACACAUGCAAGUCGAACGGGGUCCUUCGGGGCCCAGUGGCGAACGGGUGCGUAACACGUGAGCAACCUGCCUGGAGUUGGGGGAUAACCUCGGGAAACCGGGGCUAAUACCGCAUACGCUCUUUUGCCUGUAUGGGUGGGAGAGGAAAGGAGCUUUAGGCUUCGACUCCAGAGGGGCUCGCGGCGUAUCAGCUAGUUGGUGAGGUAACGGCUCACCAAGGCGAUGACGC